AGUGAACGCUGGCGGUAGGCCUAACACAUGCAAGUCGAACGGCAGCACAGUAAGAGCUUGCUCUUACGGGUGGCGAGUGGCGGACGGGUGAGGAAUACAUCGGAAUCUACUUUUUCGUGGGGGAUAACGUAGGGAAACUUACGCUAAUACCGCAUACGACCUACGGGUGAAAGCAGAGGAUAUUCGGACCUUGCGCGAUUGAAUGAGACGAUGUCGGAUUAGCUAGUUGGCGGGGUAAAGGCCCACCAAGGCGACGCUCCGUAGCUGGUCUGAGAGGAUGAUCAGCCACACUGGAACUGAGACACGGUCCAGACUCCUACGGGAGGCAGCAGUGGGGAAUAUUGGACAAUGGGCGCAAGCCUGAUCCAGCCAUACCGCGUGGGUGAUGAAGGCCUUCGGGUUGUAAAGCCCUUUUGUUGGGAAAGAAAAGCAGCAGGUUAAUACCCCGCUGUUCUGACGGUACCCAAAGAAUAAGCACCGGCUAACUUCGUG
This 492-nucleotide ribosomal RNA is filed under the name uncultured bacterium. RNAcentral's name for it is "partial 16S ribosomal RNA". It matches the Rfam family "Bacterial small subunit ribosomal RNA", at positions 29 to 507 of the family's 1533-position model. The record is from RNAcentral.